GGGUCCUCCAGGGGUCCCCAAAUGUCACCGAGGGUCUUCUGAGUGUCCCCAAAUGUCAAUGAGAGUUUUCUGAGUGUCCCCAAACGUCACCAGGGUCCUCCAGGAGUCCCCGAAUGUCACCAAAUGUCAGCGAGGGUCUUCUGAGCGUCCCUAAAUGCCACCAGGGCUCCCCAAAUGGCACCGAGGGCCCUCCGAGUGUCACCAAAUGUCACCGAGGGUCCCCAAUGGCACCGGGGUCCUCCAGGGGUCCCCAGAUGUCAUCGAGGGUCCCCCGAGUGUCCCCAAAUGUCAUUGAGGGUUUUCUGAGUGUCCCCAAAUGCUACCGUGGGCCCCAAAUGGCACCAAGAUCCUCCAGGGGUCCCCAAAUGUCAUUGAGGGUCCCCCGAGUGUCCCCAAAUGGCACCGGGGUCCUCCAAGUGUCCCCAGAUGUCACCGAGGGUCCUCCAGGGGUCGCCAAAUGUCACCGAGGGUCCCCAAAUGGCACCAGAGUCCUCCAAGUGUCACUAAACGUCAUUGAGGAUGCUCCAGGUGUCCCCAAAUGCCACCGGGGUCCUCCGAGUGUCCCCCAAUGGCACCGGGGUCCUCCGAGUGUCCCCAAAGCGUCACCGGGGUCACCCAGGUCGUUCCAAGAAUGUCACUGAGGUCCUCUGGUUGUCCCCAAGGUGACAUCGGAGGUCCUCCAACCACUCCGGGAGUGUCACCGGGGUCCUCUGCCUGUCCCCAAAGUGUCACUGGGGGUCCUCUAACCACCCGAAGGUGGCACUGGGGGUCCCCUGGCUGUCCCCAAGAUGUCACUGGGGGUCCUCCAACCACCCCACGAGUGUCACUGGGGUCCCCAAAGUGUCACCGAGGUCCUCUGCCUGUCCCUAAGGGGUCACCGGGGUCCUCUGGCUGUCCCCCAAGUGACACCGGAGGUCCUCCAACCACCCCACGAGUGUCACUGGGGUCCUCUCGUUGUCCUCAAGGUGUCACCGGGGUCCCCCUGGCUGCCCCCAAGAUGUCACCAGGAGUCCUCCAACCACUCCACAGAUGUCACCGGGGUCCCCCCAAGGUGUCACUGGGGUCCUCUGGCUGUCACCAAGGUGACACCGGGCUCCCCCAAGGUGUCACUGGGGGUCCUCCAACCUCCCCAGGAGUGUCACUGGGGUCCCCAAAGUGUCACCGGGGUCCUCUGGCUGUCCCCAAGGUGACAUCGGAGGUCCUCCAACCACCCCACGAGUGUCACUGGGGUCCUCUCGUUGUCCUCAAGGUGUCACCGGGGUCCCCCAAAGUGUCACCUGGGCCCUCCAUCCGUCCCCAAAGUGUCACCGAGGUGCCCCCAGGUGUCACCAGGGCACCUCCAACAGCUCCAGGACCUCCACUGAGGUCCUCCAAGGUCUCACCGGGGUCCCCCAAAGU
Molecule: long non-coding RNA, 1398 nt
Filed under: Numida meleagris (helmeted guineafowl)
Lineage: Eukaryota; Metazoa; Chordata; Aves; Galliformes; Numididae
Description: lncRNA (ENSNMEG00000002021.1)
Source: RNAcentral